Molecule: unclassified non-coding RNA, 172 nt
Filed under: rhizosphere metagenome
Description: partial ribosomal RNA internal transcribed spacer region
Source: RNAcentral
GAAUUUUUAGGGCGUUCUUUUUAGAAGCCCGACCCUUUCAUUUCCACACACUGUGAACACACUUCUUUUUACACCCAUAUUUAUAAACUCACAAGUCUAUAAGAAUGUUUAAAAGUCUCUUAAUUGAGCAUAAAGUUAUAAUACAACUUUCGGCAACGGAUCUCUUGGCUCU